Molecule: transfer RNA, 72 nt
Filed under: Ovis aries (sheep)
Lineage: Eukaryota; Metazoa; Chordata; Mammalia; Artiodactyla; Bovidae
Rfam family: tRNA
About the family: Transfer RNA (tRNA) molecules are approximately 80 nucleotides in length. Their secondary structure includes four short double-helical elements and three loops (D, anti-codon, and T loops). Further hydrogen bonds mediate the characteristic L-shaped molecular structure. tRNAs have two regions of fundamental functional importance: the anti-codon, which is responsible for specific mRNA codon recognition, and the 3' end, to which the tRNAs corresponding amino acid is attached (by aminoacyl-tRNA synthetases). tRNAs cope with the degeneracy of the genetic code in two manners: having more than one tRNA (with a specific anti-codon) for a particular amino acid; and 'wobble' base-pairing, i.e. permitting non-standard base-pairing at the 3rd anti-codon position.
Source: Rfam by way of RNAcentral
UCCCUGGUGGCUCAGAUGGUAAAGCGUCUGCCUGCAAUGCGGGAGACCAGGGUUCGAUUCCUGGGUUGGGAA